AGUGAACGCUGGCGGUAGGCCUAACACAUGCAAGUCGAACGGCAGCACAGUAAGAGCUUGCUCUUACGGGUGGCGAGUGUCGGACGGGUGCGGAAUACUUCGGAAUCUACUUUUUCGUGGGGGAUAAUGUCGGGAAACUUACGCUAAUACCGCAUACGACCUACUGGUGAAAGCAGGCGAUCUUCGGACCUUGCGCGAUUGAAUGAGCCUAUGUCGGCUUAGCUCGUUGGCGGGGUAAAGGCCCACCACGGCGACGAUCCGUAGCUGGUCUGAGAGGAAGAUCAGCCACACUGUAAGAGAGACACAGUACAGACACUUGCAGGGAGCAGCAGUGGGGAAUAUUGGAGAAGGGAGGAAAGCCUGAUCCAGCCAUACCGCGUGAAGGAAGAAGGACUUCGGGUUGGAAAGCCCUUUUGUUGGGAAAGAAAAGAAGCAGGUUAAUACCCCACUAUACUGACGGUACCCAAAGAAUAAGCACCGGCUAACUUCGUG
Molecule: ribosomal RNA, 492 nt
Filed under: uncultured bacterium
Lineage: Bacteria
Description: partial 16S ribosomal RNA
Rfam family: Bacterial small subunit ribosomal RNA
Source: RNAcentral